UUUUGCUUGGUGCACUUUCCAAGUGACAGGCCAGCAUCGAUUUUGACCGUCGGAAAAAGUCUUGAAGAAUGUGGCACCUUUGGGUGUGUUUAUAGCUUCGAGUUCGCAUACGAUGGUUGGGAUCGAGGAACGCAGCGCGCCGUAAGGCAGGGGUUUAUGCCCACUUUUGCGCUUAGGAUGCUGGCAUAAUGGCUUUAAACGACCCGUCUUGAAACACGGACCAAGGAGUCUAACAUACCUGCGAGUGUUUGGGUGGAAAACCCGAGCGCGUAAUGAAAGUGAAAG
Molecule: ribosomal RNA, 285 nt
Filed under: Polyporus umbellatus
Lineage: Eukaryota; Fungi; Basidiomycota; Agaricomycetes; Polyporales; Polyporaceae
Description: partial 28S ribosomal RNA
Rfam family: Eukaryotic large subunit ribosomal RNA
Source: RNAcentral